GUGUGUGUGUCUUCCUUCCUUUUCAUGCAUGCUUGAGUAUUUUAUUGUAUGUUUCUCUCUGCCUCUGCAGCUCCAACAGGAGCCACAGUUUUGUGUGGUCCCAUAGUAGUCUGAGGAUAUUCCUGAAUUUACGAUUUAGAUGUUUUCAUUUUAAUUUAAAGCAUUAAGUAUUUGUGUGUCAAGCCUAAGUUGCUUCAAUAUACAACAAAACAUUUUUAAAAGCUUAAAUGCAUAUUUUUUUAGAAAUGUUUCUUUGCUGUUUGCAGACUGUAUUUUUAAAAAAAUCCAAAAUUAAACGUCACAAUGGGAGGUCCCCCAUUUGUUUCUAUGUCCAGGCUCCUUGAUCUUGUUCUUGCUUCAUAUAAUUUCCUUGUAAAUCUUAUUAAAUUGUGCCCCCCGUCUCUUGCUGCUGUUUUCUGCUUGUUAUAUAACUGUGUUGUUCUCGGCUCAGGCUCUUCACGCCUCAUUCUGUGGCUCUGUGCUACCUGCGUCAAACCCAACUCUUCCUCCCUAUUAAACAGCCAAGAUUUCCAAUAAACCCUCGGCUUCCUCGGUGACAAGGUGGGAGGGAGGGCGGCGGAGGCAGAGAAAUCCUCCCGCUGUUUCAUAAUUGUAUGAAUUUUAAAUACACUGUCAUAAGAGCCUCUUCCGCAUUCACAGCGGGGGAACGGGACUAUCAUGAUAAUAUUAGAGCUACAGGGUUAGCUGACCGUGAAGAGCGAGGCGCUCUCGCCACCUCUGUUCACACAUGCAGGCCAGAUGGCCACAGAGGCUGCAUUCACAUUCAGAAUCACAUUAGGUAUAUGUGUGUGUGUGUGUGUGUGUGUGUGUGUGUGUGUGUGUGUGUGUGUGUGUGUGUGUGUGUGUGUGUGGAUGUGUAUUUUCUAAACAUAACCUCCUUUCCUUUAAUUCCUAGAGUGCAUUAAAAUUACUUUAGAUUGUCUUUCUCUUUGUGCAAAAAUUGAGAAUAUUACUCAUGAGGUGUUUUGUGAUGCAUCAUCAAUACAGGAUGAAUUAGGCGGUGUCCGAGUGAAAUUAAGUCCAAUGAAUAUUCAAAUAUGUUGCUGAACAGUGAUAUCAAAUUAGGCCUAAGUCCUUCAUGGAUCCCUGGAGGUUUCCAUGUCUUGCAGGCACGCCGAGGCUUAUUAAAGGCUAAAACAUAAGCAUCAAAUGUGGGCGCAUCUAGAAACAUCCACUGCUGCUUUCUGGAAACAAAGACUGAAUGAAACCAAAACAAUCACUCAGUCACCGGCAAAUAUGUUUAUGUUAAGCUGUUAUAAUGCCUGUUGGUUUCUAAGCGCCUUGAUGUGAAUGGACGGCAAAAAUAAUAAACAGAUUUUCAGAUAAAUUCUUAAAAAUCACGGGAUUGAACCUGCCUGCGAACCUUUUAGCCCAUCCCUGAAAUCAAUUACAGCCACCCUCCACAGCUUACGCUUGUUAACCCUGGGCUCUGUGAGGAAGAUCAGAACACAAAUAAUUAAAAAAAAAAAAGAGCCUGAAACACAGAGACCGUGAACUCCUCCGCUGCAGACCCUUCACUGCCUCGUUAGCGCUUAAUUAAAUAAAACUGAACCGAGAUCAGUUGAAUUAAAAGUAUGCGACAAGCAGAAACGAUAGGAAUGUGCUGGCAGGGGUGAUAUUGAUAAACUAAAAAAUAGCUCAAAGUGGCAUCUUUUAUUUUUGGGUCAUUUUUGGUAUCUUUUGAUCAGCAGUCUUAGCCUGCAUGACAUUUUUCUGUUCAUUUUUAGGAAGAAUAUUGCAGAAUAAGAAAGUAGUCUUUCCUGUUAAAACUGAAGAAGAAGCGAAUUUAGAUGAUCACCCUAGUUUGGUGAUUAAAAAACCCAAACGUUUGUCCAAUUUAUGUCAGACUGAGACUUAUGGCACAUUCCUCAACAGCAUGGGGUCUGUUUUUCUCCCAUUUUGGGUUGUUUUUGAAUGAAGAAGUACAAUUUUGACAUAAUCUCACUCUUUUCUCCAAACCCUGGACAAUAUUUUUAUGGCUUUUUUAUCUCAGACAUCUCAUUGAAUCUAUUUUUGGUCACAACAAAGACCUCUAAAACAUUAACACCAAAAGAGCGUGGAACACCUACUUUUUCUCCCAUAAAACAGAAAACUAGACCGGCUGAUUAUUUCAGAAACCGCUGAUUCUGUACAUUGCUCAGAUUUAUGGAGGAUGGUCCAAAAAGAGAAAACAUCCAGGUCUGUGAAUGAAAAUCACUUCUUUGAUGACUGCUUGAGAGAAUAGAAAUGCAACAGUCAUGGAAACGUUUUAUAAAACCAAGGAAUGUGGGAUGCCAAUCUCUGAAUGGACAACUGGUCAAACCUUAAAGCAGAUGAGCUACAGCUGCAGACGACCACACUAAGAACAGGAAACUGAGGCGGUGAUUCAGAAAGCCAUACCAAAAUUGGACAAUGAAAGGUUGUGGAAAAUGACAGCUGCUUUGUUGUUUUCACGUGGUAGUCAGAUUUUGGCGUAAACAACAUGAAAACACGGAUCCAUCAUAGUGUAGCUGACAAAUUGGCAGCAAUUGCAUAAUGCUAUUAUUACAAUACAAAUCAAAUUCUCCAGAUGUUUUUGAUGCCUUGUGGAGUCUAUGCCACAAAGAAUUAAGCAAGUUUUAAUGUAGAUAAUAAGGUAGCCAUGUUGAAAUGUAGAUUUUAUCUAAAUUGGUAGCUCUUGCGUUUAAGUUUUUUUUAUAUAUUUCAUUAACGGUUGCCGAGUUUUCAUUUGAGAAGCCCUAACUUUUCUUUUAAUUACAUCAGUAAUUCUUAAUGAGUCUUAACUACAUCGACAUCUAUGCUUUCUCACAACCUUUUCUCCAGACGCUCCAAACAUCCAUGCAGCAGUUUGAAAAAUAAAACCGUGACUUUGGAGCUCAGACAUCAUCUUUGUCCAAAUUUGACCUGAACAAAUAUGUUUAAAAUCAGGUUUGUUUACAACAAAAAACCUAAACUUUUAAACCAUAUUUAGAUGUUCAGACGAAGUCUGCUUCUGUCUCAUUUGGAUAUUUUCUUAUUUGAGGGGUUACGUUUGGCUGCUACUAAUACCCUCCAGAGUGCGACGCCCAGAAACACACACACACACACACACGCACGCACGCACGCACGCACGCACGCACGCACACACUCCAUGUUCACAGCCAGCCUCUAUAAACCUCUACCUGAGCGGUUUAUGCAGGCCCAAACAAGUGAAAACCAGGAAAAAAAAGCAACACACAGAUACAUAUUUCACUCCAACGAUGACAAGAACAAGGCCUCUGUGGUGAACACCAGGCAGGUUAAAGCUCAGCAAGGAGGGGAAAUGCAGCAGCAGCAGCAGCAAUGGGAAAACUUGUAAAUGACCAGAAUAGUUUAAUGGGUGAAAUGGUAUCCAGGCAGGCAGGGAAACGGGAACUGUACCUCAACAGUGUUCGUGCUUGUGUGUGUGUCAGUGUGUGUGUUUUGUUUCUCACCAAAACCUCUCUUAGGUAUCAAUAUAAUGAAAGCGUUUGUUGUUAAAUAAUAGCAGAGGUUAAAGUUUAGACUGUAGUUGGAGAAAAUUAGAAAAAAAA
This is a long non-coding RNA of Poecilia latipinna (sailfin molly), 3551 nucleotides long. RefSeq lists it as uncharacterized. Lineage: Eukaryota; Metazoa; Chordata; Actinopteri; Cyprinodontiformes; Poeciliidae. The record is from RefSeq and is a predicted model, not a curated record. The transcript is spliced from 2 exons.